GAGGGAGAAAGAUUCUAGUAGUCAUGUGAUGAAAAAGUCUAUGCUCCACAGAUAAAUCCUUAGCAUGAAUUUUCUCAAAAUAUAUUGCAUCAUCCCUUCCAAAUAAAAAUCUCAAUCCAAUUACUCUAUCAUCUAAUUUUUCUCCUUCUUCAGUGAGUGCAUGAAGCAGAACACCUAAUUUUUUCUGUGUCAAAUUAAUUUUAACCCUCUUAACCUCUAUUUUAAAAAAUCUUGGACUGACAAUGACAUUUAUAUAAAAUUUUCUUACAAGUUUUGGAU
RNAcentral lists this long non-coding RNA (279 nucleotides) under Elaeis guineensis (African oil palm). Its description in RNAcentral is "long non-coding RNA (EGUI_LNC019914)". Lineage: Eukaryota; Viridiplantae; Streptophyta; Magnoliopsida; Arecales; Arecaceae. The record is from RNAcentral.